GCAUACGCUCCGGGACAUUAUACAUAUCCGGUGGCUCAAGGUCGUCGGACACAUCUCCUGCUGUAUCGUUCCGUGCACAUAUCGCAUACGUAUGUCCCCGUAAAAUAAAAUAUAUAUCGCGUAAAAAUACACGAAGCCUGUACCGUGCAACCGUGGUGGACGGAAGUGAUAUGGACCGACACGUUAGCGUCACCGAUAUCCGGAAGUGGACGCUGGUCGCCGUGGCCCUGAUAUUACUGAUGUACGUCCAAACAUCAAUGUCGGCACCGUACGCGUGCGGGGGCGGCUGCUGUGGUUGUAAUUGCGGAUGUAACUGUUGUAGCUGUUGUGGUGGUGGCGGCUGUUGCUGAAAAAAACCAUACUUUGAUCAAGAGAUUGGUCAAACUCUACAUAAUGAAACUGAAAUAUUAUGAUAAUAGAUUUGAAAACAUUUUACAUGAUCGAUUGUUUUUAUUUUUAUUAACUACAAUUAUGUUGAAUAUUAAUGAAUAUCUGAUUUUUAUAUUUUUUUGAUGAAUUGAAUUUUUUUUUUGUUUGGUUUAAUUAUUAAAAGUUAUGAAUAUGAAUUUUCUAGCGUUAGAACGGUAAUAAAAAAAUCUCUUUUCACACAA
Molecule: long non-coding RNA, 611 nt
Organism: Acyrthosiphon pisum (pea aphid)
Lineage: Eukaryota; Metazoa; Arthropoda; Insecta; Hemiptera; Aphididae
Source: RefSeq, a predicted model, not a curated record